This 700-nucleotide ribosomal RNA is filed under the name uncultured beta proteobacterium. RNAcentral describes it as "bacterial SSU rRNA". It matches the Rfam family "Bacterial small subunit ribosomal RNA", at positions 55 to 752 of the family's 1533-position model. Lineage: Bacteria; Pseudomonadati; Pseudomonadota; Betaproteobacteria. The record is from RNAcentral.
AUGCAAGUCGAACGGUAACAGGUCUUCGGACGCUGACGAGUGGCGAACGGGUGAGUAAUACAUCGGAACGUGCCCAGUCGUGGGGGAUAACUACUCGAAAGAGUAGCUAAUACCGCAUACGAUCUGAGGAUGAAAGCGGGGGACCUUCGGGCCUCGCGCGAUUGGAGCGGCCGAUGGCAGAUUAGGUAGUUGGUGGGAUAAAAGCUUACCAAGCCGACGAUCUGUAGCUGGUCUGAGAGGACGACCAGCCACACUGGGACUGAGACACGGCCCAGACUCCUACGGGAGGCAGCAGUGGGGAAUUUUGGACAAUGGGCGAAAGCCUGAUCCAGCAAUGCCGCGUGCAGGAUGAAGGCCUUCGGGUUGUAAACUGCUUUUGUACGGAACGAAAAAGCUUCUCCUAAUACGAGAGGCCCAUGACGGUACCGUAAGAAUAAGCACCGGCUAACUACGUGCCAGCAGCCGCGGUAAUACGUAGGGUGCGAGCGUUAAUCGGAAUUACUGGGCGUAAAGCGUGCGCAGGCGGUUAUGUAAGACAGAUGUGAAAUCCCCGGGCUCAACCUGGGAACUGCAUUUGUGACUGCAUGGCUAGAGUACGGUAGAGGGGGAUGGAAUUCCGCGUGUAGCAGUGAAAUGCGUAGAUAUGCGGAGGAACACCGAUGGCGAAGGCAAUCCCCUGGACCUGUACUGACGCUCAUGC